This 460-nucleotide ribosomal RNA is filed under the name uncultured bacterium. RNAcentral describes it as "partial 16S ribosomal RNA". It matches the Rfam family "Bacterial small subunit ribosomal RNA", at positions 338 to 795 of the family's 1533-position model. The record is from RNAcentral.
CCUACGGGUGGCAGCAGUGAGGAAUAUUGGUCAAUGGCCGGAAGGCUGAACCAGCCAUGCCGCGUGAAGGUCAGUGCCCUAUGGGCGUUAAACUUCUUUUGUGCGGGAGCAAUAAUGGUCACGUGUGGCCAGAAGAGAGUACCGUACGAAUAAGCAUCGGCUAACCCCGUGCCAGCCGCCGCGGUUAUACGGGGGAUGCAAGCGUUAUCCAGAUUUAUUGGGUUUAAAGGGUGCGUAGGCUGGGAGGUUAGUCAGCGGUGAAAUGCCCCCGGUCAACGGGGUGAAGGGCCAUUGAUACUGCCUGGCUGGAAUGCGGAUGCCGUGGGAGGAAUGUGUGGUGUAGCGGUUAAAUGCAUAGAUAUCACACAGAACACCGAUUGCGAAGGCAUCUCACGAAUCCGCGAUUGACGCUGAUGCACGAAAGCGUGGGUAUCAAACAGGAUUAGAUACCCGAGUAGUC